Phalaenopsis equestris is the source of this 419-nucleotide long non-coding RNA. RefSeq lists it as uncharacterized. The record is from RefSeq and is a predicted model, not a curated record. The transcript has 3 exons. Lineage: Eukaryota; Viridiplantae; Streptophyta; Magnoliopsida; Asparagales; Orchidaceae.
AAACUCUUUGAUCGUCGUCUUCUUAAUAGAGCUGUCCAAUCAUAUGAGGGCCACGUGAAUUCUCACAGCCAUCGGCAACUAAGUGUCAAUUCAUCCGAAUCAUUCCUGCUGUCAGGUGGGGAAGAUUGCUUUGUGCGAAUCUGGAGUAUCAAAACCAGUCAGUUAAUCUUGCAAGAGAACGUCUCCAAUUCCAUCUUCUCGACCGUUUGCUGGCCUUCUUAUGGAGACAUCUCAUAUGGUUAUGAUGAAUUUCUUAAGCACGGUGAGAAUCCCUACGAUUCCACAUGUAGCUGGGGGGUCUGGCUGGGUUCGCGUGAAGGGCUACACUACAUGCGUGGCGUCUGAUUUACAUUAGCAUGAUUCAAGUAGAAGAUUAUAUUUGUAAGAUUAUCUAUAUCUAUGUAUAUAUAUAUAUAUAU